CCCGUGCGUUUCAUUUCAUUAGCCCAGGACCCAUUUUUGAAAUCAAACCCCCCCUGCGUUGUUCUCCCCCCUAUUUUCUCUUCGGCAUUUUCUCCCCUCACCGCCCAACUCAUCGUCUCUUCUGCCCAGCUGGUUGAUCUUGCUGCCGAUACCCACCAUCUGUCGCCUGGUGCUCUGCCGACAAGGGUAUAAACUACAUAAUGGGCAUGCAUUAUGCGUAUGCUUCUGUCAAAUUAGAUAUUGGCAUGCUGAAGAUUGAUGCUUUCAGCAUACAGAAAGGAAGAUUGAGCGUGCUUUAUGCGUGUAUAUGUGUUUGUGAAAUCAGCUGACUUGGUGUUCCUGUGACUUAUGUUUGUUUUUUAAUUUAAUUUCAGCAUUGGGUUUGUAAAGGGGAGAUAAACCAGAUAAUAGAAUGGAUGUGUAAUAUUUUCUUCAAGUGUAAUACAUUCAAGAAGUGUAAGAUGAUAUGUAAAGGGGUUAAUAUUUUCUUGAUGUGUAAAGGGGGUAAUAUUUUCUUAA
This is a long non-coding RNA of Carya illinoinensis, 519 nucleotides long. RefSeq lists it as uncharacterized. The record is from RefSeq and is a predicted model, not a curated record. NCBI's taxonomy places the organism in Eukaryota, Viridiplantae, Streptophyta, Magnoliopsida, Fagales, Juglandaceae. The transcript has 2 exons.